CUGCAAUGAUGGGAAUAUUUUUCGUCAACAGCAUUUCACGUGGUGAAUGGUGACACCUGUUUUCUGAGCAA
Molecule: small nucleolar RNA, 71 nt
Organism: Chelonoidis abingdonii (Abingdon island giant tortoise)
Lineage: Eukaryota; Metazoa; Chordata; Testudines; Testudinidae
Source: Ensembl